This 64-nucleotide transfer RNA is filed under the name Modiolus modiolus (northern horsemussel). RNAcentral's name for it is "tRNA-Ala". The record is from RNAcentral. Lineage: Eukaryota; Metazoa; Mollusca; Bivalvia; Mytilida; Modiolidae.
GGGGUAGUACUUUAAGAAAAAGAGUCGAUUUGCGUUUGAUUAAUAGAGGUAACUCUCUACCCUU